AAAGCGGAAUCCGAAAAGCUAAAAGAGUAGGAA
Molecule: non-coding RNA, 33 nt
Submitted as: unclassified sequences
Source: Rfam